UUUGAAAUCCCCCCGGGGCGUUGUAAUUUGAAGAUUGCGUCUUGGAGGCGACCGUGUCUAUGUUCCUUGGAACAGGACGUCACAGAGGGUGAGAAUCCCGUGCGGCACGGCCCCCGGCUCCUUAUAAGGCGCUCUCGACGAGUCGAGUUGUUUGGGAAUGCAGCUCAAAGUGGGUGGUAAAUUCCAUCUAAAGCUAAAUACAGGCGAGAGACCGAUAGCGAACAAGUACAGUGAUGGAAAGAUGAAAAGCACUUUGAAAAGAGAGUGAAACAGCACGUGAAAUUGUUGAAAGGGAAGGGCAUGCCGUCAGAUUGUCAGUGUGGGUAAGAAGCGGGGUACAAAGACUGUGGAACGUGGCCCUCGGGUGUUAUAGCCGCAGUUCAUGCCCCGUCUCUUUCCGAGGCCUGCUUUGAGGACACCGACGUAAUGACGGUACGCCGCCCGUCUUGAAACACGGAACC
This 461-nucleotide ribosomal RNA is filed under the name Kodamaea ohmeri. RNAcentral's name for it is "partial large subunit ribosomal RNA". It matches the Rfam family "Eukaryotic large subunit ribosomal RNA", at positions 114 to 664 of the family's 3401-position model. Lineage: Eukaryota; Fungi; Ascomycota; Pichiomycetes; Serinales; Debaryomycetaceae. The record is from RNAcentral.